CGAGAGUUGGAUCGUUCCCCUUAAAAACAACAGAGAGAUCGAUCCGAGAGCGGAACGGGGAACGUUAGAAGAUACAUACAACCUGUGUUCUCCCCUCCGAAACCUAGCGUCGUCAAUCCUCUGCUCUCUCCCUCCAUAUGCCGGACCGGCGGACCCUAGGCGGCGGCGCAUCGAAACCCUAAACCCUAAACCCUCGCGUCCAAUUAAAUCUCGCUGCCGCGAAUUCCGUUCAGCUACUUCAAAGGCGCGACCUUAUCGGAGCCAUCUCAUGGGGCUUGCUGUGUUGCCUCCUAAUAGUAUCCUCGUACAUGAUGCUAUACUUCAGGCACUUCUGGUUAUCAGCCGUCAUCAUCUCCGUCGGCAUCCUUCUUCCCGCCGGCCUGUAUAUUUUGAGGCAGAGAAAGCUGGCUAAGAAAAGAGAGCGGAGAUUAUUGUUGCCUCUCUCCAUGUAAGGUUAUCAUUACAUUGUAGUGGUAGGUUCCCCCCGAUUUUGCGGUUGUUCUUGACUAGACAGAAUCCGCAUUCCGGGCUUGCUUGGCACACAUCCAAACAGUUUGAUAGGCCUCUGCUGCCUAGUAUACGUCCACCAUAUUCUUUAGUCUUCACUAAAGUGCUGGAAGAAGUACACCAUCAAUUUUUGAUGCUCCAGUGUUGGGCGAAUGGAUACACCAGCUUGUGUGUUUCUGCUGCGGUUUGUUUUCCUCUUCUUCCUUUUUUCUUUUAAUGGUGCUUGCAGCCUGACAAGGUAUCUCGAUGUAUCCGACCGCCCCGAGUCACACUUUUGUAACUAAAGAAGAAUAGAUUGUUUUGUUGUUCUGAUGGAAUUUGUGAGCUUCAUGUCC
Long non-coding RNA from Triticum aestivum (bread wheat), 842 nucleotides. RefSeq lists it as uncharacterized. The transcript is spliced from 2 exons. The record is from RefSeq and is a predicted model, not a curated record. NCBI's taxonomy places the organism in Eukaryota, Viridiplantae, Streptophyta, Magnoliopsida, Poales, Poaceae.